Molecule: non-coding RNA, 672 nt
Organism: Myodes glareolus (Bank vole)
Lineage: Eukaryota; Metazoa; Chordata; Mammalia; Rodentia; Cricetidae
Source: RefSeq, a predicted model, not a curated record
UUGACUGUAAGAUACCCCUUUCCUGAACUCAUUAUUUUUUUAAUAUGUACAUUUUCCCUGUCUGUUUUGAUAUUCCAUGAAUGUCCAUUUAAUGUCUACAGAAGUCAAAUUCUGAGUUCUUAAACACAAAUUCAAAGGAAACUUGAAAUGAAGCGGAGAAUGACAAUCGAGAGAAGAAAAGGAAGUAAACAGUGUUACCAAAGCAAUCAGUACAGAGUGGCGAUGGUGAGGAGGGCAAAGAGAGCGAGGCUGGACAUGAGGGAGAUGAUGACCGUCAUGGAGUAUGCAGGGGAGACGGCGAAGGAAGAGGUGGAAGAAGGCAGAUGUGGAAUGUGCACACUUGGCCUGGAGGACGUGAUCGGCGGGAAGGCUGCAAGGAAACAACAGUGCCUCUUGCUUAUUUUGGAAACUUUCAGAGUCUGUUUUUGAGCAGAAGCACGCACUGUUGCAGUGUGAACGAUAGGCUAGGAUGUCAGGACCUCCUUGGUGAGCUGUCUGUAAAGUCCAGGAUUAAGAAUCAAAUAAGGUUCAUUUGCAAAGAAGAGGAGACUCAGAGGAGAAAAAGGGUUUUGUGAAAGAAAUAUAAAUCUCAGGCUUAGACUCCUUAUGCCUGACUCAAAAUGCACACUAAAAAUAUUUUCACAUGAUGAGACUGAAGGUUAGAAAAUCUGA